GCUCAUUUCGCUUGCUUUGUGAUGCAGUCACGCGUUCGCGCGCGUGUGCAGCUUCCCGCGGUGUCUGGCCGGCGCGACAGCGUUCCUGUUGUUUGUGUUCGGCCUUAAAAUCGUUUUCCAUCGUAGCUCUUCGAACUUAUUAUCGAUGCCAAGAAUGCCCGUGCGUUUCGUGGAAAUCACCAAUCCGAGAAGUAGGAACAAGUAGUUUCAUAUCCGGUAUGUGGGAACACUCGGGACGUACGGAUCCGUCGCAGUGCAAUUUUGUGCCUAUACGUCGCUAUAUGAAGGAGCCCAUGCUCUGGAACAUUCCAAAGACAGUGACGUCAUGCUGCGAAUAAUUUUAUCGACGCCGGAAUUCUUUGGAGGAAGGCCUCUCGCAGCGAGUCUCAACGGACGAGUAAUACUUUUUUGCACGCACAAGGUGCCGAAGAGCCAUGUGUCUCGCACGAAUGCAGUCAGCAGUCGUUGCACUCCCUUCCUGAAAGCUGCGGGCCCUCCGAGAAAAACGACGUCUUUAAAGGUCCUGUACGAAAGACCAUUCU
Non-coding RNA from Dermacentor albipictus, 542 nucleotides. NCBI's taxonomy places the organism in Eukaryota, Metazoa, Arthropoda, Arachnida, Ixodida, Ixodidae. The record is from RefSeq and is a predicted model, not a curated record.